This 391-nucleotide ribosomal RNA is filed under the name uncultured Propionibacterium sp. Its description in RNAcentral is "bacterial SSU rRNA". It matches the Rfam family "Bacterial small subunit ribosomal RNA", at positions 958 to 1347 of the family's 1533-position model. The record is from RNAcentral. Lineage: Bacteria; Bacillati; Actinomycetota; Actinomycetes; Propionibacteriales; Propionibacteriaceae.
AACGCGAAGAACCUUACCUGGGUUUGACAUGGAUCGGGAGUGCUCAGAGAUGGGUGUGCCUCUUUUGGGGUCGGUUCACAGGUGGUGCAUGGCUGUCGUCAGCUCGUGUCGUGAGAUGUUGGGUUAAGUCCCGCAACGAGCGCAACCCUUGUUCACUGUUGCCAGCACGUUAUGGUGGGGACUCAGUGGAGACCGCCGGGGUCAACUCGGAGGAAGGUGGGGAUGACGUCAAGUCAUCAUGCCCCUUAUGUCCAGGGCUUCACGCAUGCUACAAUGGCUGGUACAGAGAGUGGCGAGCCUGUGAGGGUGAGCGAAUCUCGGAAAGCCGGUCUCAGUUCGGAUUGGGGUCUGCAACUCGACCUCAUGAAGUCGGAGUCGCUAGUAAUCGCAG